AUUAUGACCAGUCUUGGAACUAGGAUUGGGGUGGGGUUCAUCCCACCCAGACCACAGAGACUGAAAAUAAGAAAGGGGUGAGGCCUAAGGGACAAUCAGGAUGUUUUUCAGAGAGAAGUGUGGAUGCUGGACAGGAAGAACCACAGAUACCAGAUACGGAAAAGGAAGAAUCAACACUUUCAGAGAUGGAGCCUGUUGAGCCACAGUACCAACUAGUCAAUGCUGAAUCGACUUCUCCCUUUCUACAUUGCCUGAGAGAAGUCAUUGGGGAAUACUCUGUACACGAAUUUUCACUGUUGGGGAAAACAGGUAUUGGAAGUGAUGGGUAGACCUCAGUUUGUAUGCAUUGUGUUAAUUACUAUUUCUUUGCUUUUCCUUUUUUUGUGCGGUUGCAGAGAGUCAAGGGAUUGGAUUGUGGAUUGCAUUGGUGGUUUUCCUCAGUUUCCUCAUCUUCUCCACAAGUUUCUACAUAUCGAAUGCAGAGCAGCCCUUCUUCAAAGGACCUCCUACGGAAGCUGCUAAGGAACUCAGUCUGUAGCUCUGCGUGGAGCCAUGUGUAAACACUGAACUGAGACCUGCCACCUCCUACUACCUAAGGGCCCAUUUUCAUCUGAUAUCAUCCCCCAGAAACAAACUCAUGAUGACUUCCAUGUUUUUUUUAGAUUAGAUACAUGGAGAAUUUUCCUUUCCCUUAGAAUUAAAAUCCUGCAUUCUAAUUUUCAGUAAGCUUUUUUAUUUCUGAAUAAUUUUAAAUUUAAAGAGAAGUUGCAAAGAUAGUAUAGAAUGUUCCCUUAUACCUGUUUUUAUUUAGAGUGAUGUUCCCAGGAGAAAUGAUAAUGCAGCAAUGGACAAGAACAGGAACAAGAGACAGUCUUACCAUCUUCUUACAAUUUAUAGAUGGGACAGUGGAAAGAGAAGCCACAUCGGGGUUGGGCAUGCAGAGACCUGGUCCUAAAUCUGUGUGACUUUUGCGAAAUCCUUUUGCCUCACAGAGCUCUAGGUUCUUAUCUGUCAAACAGGAACCAGACCAUCAGAUCCGUAGAGAUCCAACCAAUGAAGGAGACUUCGAAAACUUCACAUUGCCGUGUCAAUGUGAGGUUGCUGGAUGGUUAUGACAAGAAAUCACAUUAAAUUCACUGGGGUAACAUUGUUCAUGAAACGGGAUAAUGUGUUUCAGCGAUGAACCACCCAUGGCCUUACUACAGACAUAUUUCCACUUUGAAAAUGUGUGUGAGUGUACAUGUCUGUGUGUGAGGCAGAGAUUAGAAAGUGUAAAUGUGUGCGUUUUCAUUUUACACAUCUUACAUUUUCCUUUAAUUUGUUUGAAAGCCUGUUUUGUUUGUGGCUUCCAUUCCUGGAAGUCCCAUGAGUUGUUAGUGGUGAAGAUGGAACAGAUGUGUCCAACCCGGGGGACUCCUGCCCUCAGGGACUGAGCAGCUGCAAACCUCUCUCUCAUCUGAUUCCACUGUUUCUUCCACAUGUACACAUCAUGAGAAAUAUUGUUCAAUCAAUAUCUUCCCUUAAAUCAACUCAUAUGCUUAUUUACAUGAAUUUACCUAAAACAGAAACUUGAUAUCACUUCUGUAAAUGAAAAAAUUAAACUUUCUGGCUUUAAAUAAAGCAUAACAAUAAUAAUCAUGUCAAAA
Molecule: long non-coding RNA, 1646 nt
Organism: Homo sapiens (human)
Lineage: Eukaryota; Metazoa; Chordata; Mammalia; Primates; Hominidae
Product: long intergenic non-protein coding RNA 943
Source: Ensembl